Molecule: long non-coding RNA, 615 nt
Filed under: Homo sapiens (human)
Lineage: Eukaryota; Metazoa; Chordata; Mammalia; Primates; Hominidae
Description: HSALNT0386482
Source: RNAcentral
AAGGGAAGUUAGGUAACCUGCUCAUGAUCACACAGUUAGAGUGCCUUCAGAAAUCUUACUUUUAACAAUUACGUUAUACUGCAGUAGUCCAGGUGGGAAAAUAGGAGGGCCUGAACUAAGCUGAAGCAUUAUAAGAACAUGCUUUUUAUGUGAAUGCACAUUUUGGACUUGCUAUCUCUGUGCCUAUGAUAUCGUUUGUACCUCCAGAACAGGCACUCUGAAUUGUAUAAAUUAUUGUUAUCUUUAUAGUGUUUUAACACAGCCUUCUUUAGUGCUUGGCAAACAGCUCAUGCACAUUUAGCAAGUGCACCAGGGUGAUGGGAGUCAGAGGCAUCAGUAGAUUCUGUCUACAAUUUGAAGUAUACGACUCCACUGCAACAUGAGACUCCAGUUUAUGCAUAUGGACAUCUUGCUUGACCUCCAAGGUCCAGUCAGCUGAUGAGACAACUGCUAUAAGAAUUAUUUGCAAUCUCUGCCCAUCCACAAACUCUCCACCAUGACUACUGCACUUAGAGCACUCUGCAGUAUUUUCCAGAUGUCUGUUAUCUGUCCUGUCACACCUAGCAAGCGAUCUGGGAAAACAGGGAGCAUCUAUGAUUUUAACGAAGUAUUAAC